Molecule: long non-coding RNA, 229 nt
Filed under: Physcomitrium patens
Lineage: Eukaryota; Viridiplantae; Streptophyta; Bryopsida; Funariales; Funariaceae
Description: long non-coding RNA (PPAT_LNC008376)
Source: RNAcentral
UUUCCAUUCUAAAUAUGUACUUGAAAUUUUCAAAAAGUACAUAUAUUUUUAGAUAUUAAGUAUUUGACUAUUUUGACUUUUGAAUUGACUUUGCAUAUGAAUAGAAGUUUUAAAGUUUUGAUUUGAUAUACCUCCAUAUUAUAGAGAUCUAAGAAUUUAGUAGUGGACUUGAAAUCCUUCACAUAUUUUUUUAAUUUUAAAAUAUAUAUAUUUUUAUAUUUUUUUUACA